This is an RNA transcript of Brassica rapa (field mustard), 6565 nucleotides long. It is a transcript of the gene named ENHANCER OF AG-4 protein 2, with no coding region annotated. The record is from RefSeq and is a predicted model, not a curated record. Lineage: Eukaryota; Viridiplantae; Streptophyta; Magnoliopsida; Brassicales; Brassicaceae.
AAAAAUAUGAUCAAAAUAAUAUAUCUAAUGUUUUUUAUAAAAAAUAAUGGUUAGUUAAAUGAUAUGUUAGUAGGAAUUAAGAUUUUAGCUAAUAUGUUUUACAUAAGUGACGUGUAUGACAAAGGGCUCCAGGAAUAUAUAGAAAAUGGUAAUACUAAAAUACCAAAAAGAGUUGAUUUGACGGUCACUGUCCUGAGCACAUGUUAUUGGCCUAGUUAUAGAAUACCAAAAGGGGUUGAAUUAGAAUGUAAGCUUGAAAAGCCAAGCAUUGCAAUUAGUUUCUUUGGUCAUUGAUCAGCUGAAGAAGGAGCUUCCAAAUGAAAAGACAAGACUAGUUCUGGAGAAGAUUCUGGAAAGCAUUUCAGCUGGGUUUGAAAACAAAUCCUCUUGUGACCAAAAAGUUCUGUUUGACUUGAGAUAUUUCCUUCUUCGUGAUGAAGACAUUGGAAACGAGAGCAUGGCAGCUGAGUUUGCUCUGGAUCUGUUGCUUAAAAGGCUGAAAAGUAAAUGGGAAGAGCUUAACCAAGAGGAGUGGCUAGCCCCAUUUAUAUGACUGAUUAUUGGUUGCUCGAGAAACCAACGGCUUGUAUAUUCAGCUUAGUGUUUUGCUUUUGUUGAUCAUCUUCCAUUGCAUUCCCUCACCCCUGAAGGAAAUAAAUACGAAUGAGAUACAUUGCUAACAUAAAUGUUAAGCAUUGCAAAAUCUAGAAGCAAUAUCCCCCUUGCUGUUUCGUUGUCAUUCUUUCAAUUUUAUCAGAAGUAAUAAGAUGAAGAUAGAGCACAGCUAACAGAAGUGAUGAAGUUGCCUGAAUUUGAGAAUAUAAAGAGCAACCAACACCGUAGAGCUCUUUUGCUCUUCAAAGCGAUGGUAGAGGGGAGGUCUAUGGAUAUCGAGAUUCAUGAAAUUGCAUCCAAGUUUCAUCCUUGUUACUGUCGAAGACGUAACACUCAUUUUUUCUUUCGACUGAAAUUUCAGCAUAAGUCAUCUUUGUGUAAAAACUGUUCAAACAACACAUUAGUAAAAAAAUCAUCGUCGUAAACAAAAAUCAGAUCUUUUACUUAACCAUUCCCCUUAGAAACAAAGUGACAAACAUUUGAUUCAUCAAUCAAUAAAUUACAUAUCAUAUGAAACCAUUAUAUAUAUAUAUUUCCUAGAAAUUACUUCAGAAGUAAUUUGACACAUAUACUUUUUACAAUCAAUUUUAUAAGAAAAUGUGACAUGACUACUAAAAUUAAUGACAUAACUUAUACUAAAUAUGACAUAACCAAAUUAUAUUUAAUAUUAAUUUAUAUUUUUGAUAAAUUUUUAAAAAUAUGAUAAUAACUCAUCCAUUACAUAAAAAGUUGAUCUAUAUUUUUGGUAAACUUUUUAUAAUAUCGUAAUAACUCAUAAAUUAUCAUUAAAAUAAAUAUAUGCAAAUAUGACAUUACAAAUUCAAAAUGUUAUUUAAUUCUGUUUUUAUAAUUAUACAACUUCUAUGACUAGUGGCUUAUUAUUAUUAUUUUGAAACACGUAGAAUUAAUAUAUUUUGUUUUUAGGGAGUAUAUUAAUUAACCAUUAAAUUAAACAAAAAAAGGAAAAUAAGAGAGAAUUAUGUUGAAUUGGAUCUCUACUUAUAUGCAAAAACAAAAAGGAAGGAAAAUAAAAAGAGCUGACAAAGAAGAGUAAACCAACAUCAUCGUGUAGAAGAAAUUCAAUUCAAUUCAAUUCACCUCUCAACCCUAAAGCCUCAUCGUCUCUCUCUCUCUCUCUCUCUCUCUCUCCGUCGCUCCGUCGCUGUACUUGAUCCGUAUCUGCAUCCGUCAACGCGUCAACCAGCGACGCUCCGGAUUGAAUUGCGCAAUUCCGUUAAAAAAAUUAGGGUUUAAUAGAGGAACCAAAUCGCCUAUGGCUCCGGGGCGUAAAAGAGGAGCGAGCAAGGCCAAGGCCAACGGGAAGUUGAUUCUCGGCGAUCUCGUCCUCGCCAAAGUCAAAGGCUUCCCCGCUUGGCCUGCUAAGGUUAGCAGGCCUGAAGAGUGGGAUCGUGCUCCAGAUCCUAAGAAGUACUUUGUUCAGUUCUUUGGUACACAGGAAAUAGCUUUUGUUGCACCGCCUGAUAUUCAAGCCUUUACUAGUGAUUCAAAGAGCAAACUGUUGGCAAGAUGUCAAGGUAAAACGGUCAAGUACUUUGCACAGGCUGUGACGGAGAUAUGCACAGAAUUUGAAGAGUUGCGAAAUCACAAGUCGAGUGUUUUGGGUAAUGAGGAUCCGAUGGAUGCUGCGGAUCCUGGUUUGGUAAAGGAUGAGACAGUUGAUGGAACAGAUCACACCGUCACUGAUUCUGAUGGAACUGAUAACUUAGAUUCUGAGGUGGGACCUUACUUCCCCAAAGUUGAAACAGAGAAGCAGGGUUCGUCUCCAUUUCGGGAAUCAAAGAUCACUGCCACAUCCUCGGGUAGCGAGUCACUAGAGCAGGUGGACCUUAAAAUAAAAGAAGGAGAUUUUGAUAAAGGAACUGAUGGUGAUGGUUGCACUAAGGAAUUUGGUAAUGGUGAAAAGGGUCUGCCCAACGGUAAGAGAAUAAAGAAGGAAGCAGGUGGCUCGGUCAGAGAAGGGAAAGAUACAGUUCAUAGAGACAAAAGCGAUGGUCGAGAUACUAGUGGUAAAUCCGAUUCCAAAAAGUCAAAAGAUCUGUUGACAGAGAAAUCUAGCUCCAAAGUGUCUGGUGUUAAGCAAGAAAAAUCAAUUGGCGUUAAGGAUGGGGUUUCCGGCAAGAAAAGGAGGCUUGAAAGUGAAUCAGGGAAGCCUGCAUCAAGAGUAGAUGAAAGCUCACGUGCGGCUAAAAAGCCGCGAUGUGAAGGUAAAAAUGACAAGGAAAAAUGUGUAACUGAUUCUACUGGUACUGUAUCACAUAUUAAGCGUGAACUUGUUGUAGGACUAAGUGCUCGUGGAGGUGAUUUACAAUAUGAUAAAAUAGUUGUAACUAAGCGCCGGAGACAAACAGUGGAGCAUGAUAACUCGCCUCCUCUUUCUGGGUCCCGUGUUAAAUCCGGGAAAGGUCAGCUGGAACAGAGACACCGUUCGUCUGUGACUGAUAAAUCCGGGAAAGGUCAGCUGGAACAGAAGGACCGUUCCUCUUCUGUUAGUAAUGCCAAGGUUCCAGCUUCACAGUCGCUGAAAAAAAGGAGGGCUGUUUGUGUAUAUGACGAAGAUAAUGAUGAAGAUCCCAAAACCCCAUUACAUGGAAGUCAAGCCGUUGUUCCCAAAGCAACGCCAGUAUUGACUGAUGGUCCUAAAAGUGCUAACGUGUGUCGUGACACUUCUACUAAAGCCAAAAUAUCUGCUGGAUCUACAGAGAGUACGGGACUAAGGAAAGUACCCCUUCGUAAACAUUGUGAGGAUACUUCACGUGUAUUAUCAGAUAAUGUGGAGAAACCUAUCAGUGAGUUGCCGGCAAAGGAUGUCAAGCAAAUCUUGCAAUCUCCUAUGAAGUCUCCUCAGCUGGUGUCACCUAACAAGCACGUUGCAGGACAGCAUAAAACUGCGAAACCACCUGUAAAAGUUUCGGAUGUCAAGAAGCCUCAUAGUGAGUCUGGUAAGGAAUCAGUUGUGGGAUCUGAUAAAGUAAGCCCUUCCCAAUCUCAGCUAGCAAAUCAGAGACACAGACCAGCUUCAGUUGGAGAUAAGCCAACGGUGGUUUCAAAAGCUGCGUUACGUCUGAGUGAUGCUGUUGUUUCAAAAGACACUUCUGGGGACUUGUCUGCUGUUAUGGUUGAUUACAAUCGAGAAAAUGGGAGUGCUCCAUUCACCAGAGCGAGGACCCCAGAUUCGGCUGCAUCUAUGAAGGAUCUAAUUGCAGCUGCGCAGGCCAAAAGAAAACUAGCACAUUCACAAAAUUCAGUUUUUGGGAAUUUGAAUUCUAGUUUAUUAAACAUCAGUGAAACACAGAUGAGGAGUCAUAGCCCAGUUAUGGUUCAGAAUGCUUCAGCUUCUGCGGCCAUCGUAAUGCCUGUCGCUGUUCAAGGACAUCAACAAGACUCUUUUCCAUCAAAUCAUGAGCAUCAGUCCUCAUCAAGAAAUCAAAAUGAGACUGAUGAUAAUGAAGAGAGAAAACUUAGUUCAGGGCAUGAGUCAGUUGGAGGUUCACUUAGUGGUGGCACUGAUGCUGCUGUUUCUCGGGAUGCUUUUGAGGGCAUGAUAGAGACCUUAUCAAGAACUAAAGAAAGUAUCGGACGUGCUACGCGCCUAGCAAUUGAUUGUGCCAAGUACGGGAUUGCUAGCGAGGUGGUGGAACUUCUCAUACGAAAGUUGGAAAAUGAGGCUCACUUACAUCGUAAAGUGGAUCUGUUCUUUCUUGUUGACUCUAUCACCCAGUGUUCGCACAACCAAAAAGGUAUUGCUGGUGCUUCAUACGUUCCUACAGUGCAAGCUGCUUUGCCACGUCUUUUAGGUGCUGCUGCCCCACCAGGGACCGAUGCUCGUGAUAACCGUCGUAAAUGUCUCAAGGUUUUGAGGUUGUGGCUUGAUAGGAAAAUUUUCCCUGAAUCUGUUCUGCGUCGCUAUAUUGAUGAUAUUGGAAAUUCUAGUGAUGAUGCAACUGUUGGGUUGUCCAUACGACGUCCUUCCAGAUCUGAGCGUGCUGUAAAUGAUCCUAUCAGAGAAAUGGAAGGGAUGCUUGUUGAUGAGUAUGGCAGCAAUGCAACUAUUCAGCUGCCAGGGUUUUUCUCUUCUCGUACCUUUGAAGAUGAUGAAGAAGAUGACGACGAUCUUCCAAAUCUUCCAAUACCACAAGAUGCGAAAAACACAUCAUCUGGUGAACCUUUCAAUGCUUUAGAAGACUUGGAAGCACGUGAUACUUUGAGUGAUAGACCUCAUCGAGUUUUGGAGGAUGUAGAUCGUGAACUUAAAAUGGAAGAUGUUUCUGGUCAGCCGAAAGAUGUAGCACCUUCCGCUUUCUGUGAGAAUGUGACAAAGGUUCAGUCACUGGAUGCUAGGGAACCAGUUGCAGAAAAGUCAACUGGGGCGCCUCCUUUUCCAGAGGAUUCUCCUCCCCUGCCUCAAGAAUCACCUCCAUCUCCCCCUCCUCUACCUCCUUCUCCACCACCUCCAUCCCCACCUCCUCCGCCUUCAUGUCCGCCCCCAUUGCUGCCACCACCACCUCCUACAACACAUUUCCCACCACCUCCGUCGCAGACUCCACCACCACCGCCCCAUUCACCUCCACCUUCACCGCCACCUCCACCUCCACCGCCUGCACAAUCUAUAACUUUACCACUAUCGCUAACUAUUCAACAAUCCAUUGCUAGCCAUCAACAGUUACACCUUCAACGAGGCUUUCCUCCAGCAUAUCCAUUAUCGCAUCAAACAUACCCAGGAUCUAUGCAGCAAGACCAAUGUACCAUUUUCACUGGUGAUCAAAUUGUCCAAGGGCCUGGAAGAUCUUCACGUGGAAGUCAUGUUGAGGGGCCUGGAAAAACUGAAUUUUUCAUGCAGCAGUCAUGUAAUUUUUCUCCAGCAGAAGUGUACAGCUCCAGGGAACCAUCAGCAUUUACUUCCUCCAGACAACUAGAAUUUGGGAACAGCGAUGCACAGAACCUACGGUUUCAACCGAACACCUCUCUGUCCCAAAGACCUAUGCUUAGACACCUGCCUUCAGCACCGUCCAGUCAUUUUCCUUAUUCAAGCCAUGUUCAGUCACAAUCCCAGCGGUCCUACACUCAUCCUUAUUCUUUCCCACCUCAACGCGAUGAUGGACGGCGAUUUAGAAAUGAGGAACCAUGGCGGAUGUCUUCGAGUGGGCGUAGUGCAGAAGACCAGAGUGGUGCCUGGAUACUUGGAAGAAAUUCACAUCCAGGCCUUCCUAGAGCCACAGACAGUAUAUUUUUUUCGGCCACCUUCAGUGGCAAUCAGCUAUCAGCCUUCUUCUGCCAGUAACUUACAAGCCGUCCCUACAAUUCAAGGUCAUGCUGCUUCCCAGAUGCUACCAUCUCGGCCAGACAUGCCUACGGCGAAUUGCUGGAGGCCAGCUUGAGGUUAGAGGUAGAAUUUCGUUGGUCUGCUCCUGUCAAUAUCAAUGGAAAAAGGAGCUGCUAGUUCCUCGUUAACAAGAUUAAUCCUCUAGGGUUUUGAUACAAAGUUAAACCACCUGGAGCAAUGGCAAUCAUCGUGCUGGGGAAAUAUUUGCGCAUUGUACAAAGCGGUCUUGAUUGGCUAAUGCAGAAGCUUGAUGUGUUGAGAUUCUGAGAUUUGGUUCGUGAGCUGAGAGUUGCAGGUCUUGGGGGAGGAUCUAACUAGGCUUUAGACGAUUGUCGCCUCUCUUUAUCAAUCGAGUUUCUCAAGUUGGGAGGUUAGCUUUUUCGCCACUGAUGAUCAUUACCUCAGGACUAACUUCAUUGUUGAGAUUUUUUUUGGCGGAAAGUAAAUUAAAGCUAGAUCACUGGAACUAAAAUGAUGGUAUAUUAUGGUAGGAAAGGUUGUUUUACCAGACUAAUCAAUAGCUUUGUAAUUAACAAUCUUAUAAUUUAUCAACUGAUCUUGUAAACCAAAAGAUUGGUACUUGAUCUAUUACAUAGGAAUUUUGCACAA